CUUAUGCGUUGUUGGGUAGGGGAGCGUUCUGUAAGCCUGUGAAGGUGUGCUGUGAGGCAUGCUGGAGGUAUCAGAAGUGCGAAUGCUGACAUAAGUAACGAUAAAGCGGGUGAAAAGCCCGCUCGCCGGAAGACCAAGGGUUCCUGUCCAACGUUAAUCGGGGCAGGGUGAGUCGACCCCUAAGGCGAGGCCGAAAGGCGUAGUCGAUGGGAAACAGGUUAAUAUUCCUGUACUUGGUGUUACUGCGAAGGGGGGACGGAGAAGGCUAUGUUGGCCGGGCGACGGUUGUCCCGGUUUAAGCGUGUAGGCUGGUUUUCCAGGCAAAUCCGGAAAAUCAAGGCUGAGGCGUGAUGACGAGGCACUACGGUGCUGAAGCAACAAAUGCCCUGCUUCCAGGAAAAGCCUCUAAGCAUCAGGUAA
Molecule: ribosomal RNA, 420 nt
Filed under: Escherichia coli
Lineage: Bacteria; Pseudomonadati; Pseudomonadota; Gammaproteobacteria; Enterobacterales; Enterobacteriaceae
Description: partial 23S ribosomal RNA
Rfam family: Bacterial large subunit ribosomal RNA
Source: RNAcentral